Long non-coding RNA from Onychostoma macrolepis, 465 nucleotides. RefSeq lists it as uncharacterized. The transcript has 3 exons. NCBI's taxonomy places the organism in Eukaryota, Metazoa, Chordata, Actinopteri, Cypriniformes, Cyprinidae. The record is from RefSeq and is a predicted model, not a curated record.
GGCAGGAAAGUGAUGACGGAAUAAACCCAGACAACGGAUCGAAAGACCUGCAGCAGGAGAGGAGACAUGUCCUCCUUCAACUUCAUCCUGAGAGGAACGAGAGAUCAGACGAUGAGAAGACAAAAAGAUAAAAAUUCCCUCAUUGGUGGCCUCAUUAGUGAUUCCUUUGCAGAAUCAUGGGAUCAUUGUGCGGCUGGCAGACAGUGAACGCCAUGAGCUCAGACGACAAACAAGACAGACUUUGUCGCUCUGGAAGGAUGAAGCUCACACUAAAACAGUGUUCUGUUUGAGAGGAGGAUGUGUUUAUGAAUGCAUGUGUGUGCUGAGGGGAAGACAUGGAGGGUGAACAAUAUACAUGAAAUACAAACUGAGAUAUUUGGCCAAUUUUGGAAAUCCCAAAAUAAAGAUCGACCUGAUAAACCAGCGGCCUAUAUGAUAGAAUAAGCAGAAAUCUUAAAUUAUUCG